Non-coding RNA from Faecalibacterium sp. CAG:82, 278 nucleotides. The record is from Rfam. Lineage: Bacteria; Bacillati; Bacillota; Clostridia; Eubacteriales; Oscillospiraceae.
AAAAUGGCUGUGAAGAGAAGAGUAGGUUUUCGCAUUGAGCCUUACCAGAGAGCCCGGACGGUGGAAAAGGGCAGGAAACAGGGAACGGAAAAUGGUCUCGGAGCCGCGUGGGCGAAGUGCAAGAGUGCUAAGCCUGCGACGGGUACGCCCGUUAAAGCGUCCGGCUGUACGCCGCGUGAGCCGAGCUCAGCUCCCGCUGCCGCAGCUUCAAGGCCGUACCUGUGAGGGUGCGGUAAACCAAGGUGGUACCACGGAAGUUUCAAGCUCCCGUCCUUGCA